CCCUUAGAUGUUCUGGGCUGCACACGUGCUACACUGGCAGGUUCAGCGAGCUUCAUGCCCUGAUCUGAAAGGAAUGGGAAAUCUUUUCAAAACCUGCCGUGCUUGGGAUAGAUGUUUGCAAUUAUUCAUCUUCAACGAGGAUUGCCUUGUAAGCGCACGUCACCAGCGUGCAUUGAGUACGACCCUGUAUUCUGUACACACCGCCCGUCGCUCCUACCGAUUGAAGUUUUCGGUGAGUUGACAGGAGGAUUUUUUUGAAACUGGUUCGCCAGUGGAUUUUAGAUCCAAAUGCCAACGAAUCGAUGGCUUUAGAGGAAGGAGAAGUCGUAACA
RNAcentral lists this ribosomal RNA (332 nucleotides) under uncultured eukaryote. Its description in RNAcentral is "partial 18S ribosomal RNA". It matches the Rfam family "Eukaryotic small subunit ribosomal RNA", at positions 1470 to 1796 of the family's 1831-position model. The record is from RNAcentral.